UCCACUAGAGGAUACAACCAAAACCACUUGGUCCAGGUAAGACGAGAUGUCUUCCACCAUAGUGGAGAGAGGAAGAUAAGCCUUAGCUGGUGGAUGAUGAUUUCGGGUGGAGAAAGAUGCCCUAAAGGGGGCGUUUGGUAUGGGAUGAUCCAUCUAGGAUCAAGAGUGAUAUGGGUAAAGUGAUAAGAUCACUGUAUUUGGU
This 202-nucleotide long non-coding RNA is filed under the name Elaeis guineensis (African oil palm). Its description in RNAcentral is "long non-coding RNA (EGUI_LNC034212)". Lineage: Eukaryota; Viridiplantae; Streptophyta; Magnoliopsida; Arecales; Arecaceae. The record is from RNAcentral.